UGCUCUUCGCGCCUGCAAGAUCGUGUCGAAAUGGCGAUCGUCGAUAAAAAGCUCCUGCUUUUUCAUAAAAAGGAACUUUACUUACUGAAGAAAAAGGCGCUCCUGCUACAACCAAACCCCCGUCGAUGGUGGGUAAGACCGAGCUGGCAGAACAGAAAGAGAGUCCGAGUUCUACACAACGACCCUCUUUCUGAUGACCCACGAUCCCGAGUUUUUCCGAAAAUAUUACCGGAUGACACCAGAAACAGUUGAAAAGCUCCAUUCCUUGUUGAAAACAAUGCUUUCAAAACAGUGGGUUUUACGGGAGCCCGUGCCUUCACGAUGCCGCCUGCCAUCACAUUGAGCAUCGGGGAUGUACAUUCAAGAUGCUGCCAUGGCCUUUAAGGUAGGUAGGCAUAUCCACUGCAAGCAACAUUGUGCAGGAAGUUUGUGCACUUCUGUGGGAAGUUCUUCGACCCAAGUGUAUGACGGUAAGUUAUGCUACAAAUUUCUUAAUAUGUAAGCUUUUUUAAGCAAGUCAUCGGACAUCCAUGGUGACCUACAUGCAUAAGAUGUCAUGCGACUUGUGAAACUUAAGUUAUUGCAGCUUUAACCAGAACAGCUAUUUGCCAUGUGUAAUCAUUGCAUCAUUUUCUACGAGGCAAGACAGUAAAGUCUGUGAUUACUUACUGCAUUUUCAGUUCCUAGCAAAUGUUGAGCAGUGGCAGGAUAUUGCCAAGGGCUUUGAGCGCAAGUGGGAUUUCCCAUACUGCCUAGGUGUUCAUGGGAAACAGGUCCAAAUAGAAGGUCAUCCACA
Dermacentor silvarum is the source of this 796-nucleotide long non-coding RNA. RefSeq lists it as uncharacterized. The record is from RefSeq and is a predicted model, not a curated record. The transcript has 3 exons. NCBI's taxonomy places the organism in Eukaryota, Metazoa, Arthropoda, Arachnida, Ixodida, Ixodidae.